UACGACAGAUUCCGGUUGGUCGAGCUGCUCCGCUGCCGGCCGGCGCCCCUCGCCGCCUCCCUCCAGUCCGGUGGCCACAGCGCCCUCUCGCCGUUCAAGCUAUCGGGCGCACAUCCAGAGCACGCAAAAGAGAGAGAGAGCCCGCGCAUGCGCGAUAUCAUUUCUCGCGUUCGUCUCCCGCCCCGCGCGACACGGCGAUUUCGCGAGCCCUAGCGAAUCUCCGGGCCCUCGGUGGAAUCGAAAAUCAGGCGCGGGAUGCUGGAUCGCCGGCGGUCCGGCGGAGGGUGAAUGAUCUGGUGGUAUGCCCUCUGGAGGUAUUUUGUCUGUUUCUUGCUUACAGGUUUUCGGUGGAUGUAGCAGUCGCUUGUAUUCUGUCAGUAUAGGACUAUAGGGUGGCAAGGCGCAAUUGGUAAUUGAUGUGCCGUUCGUUGAUUACUUGUUACUGCUGUCUAUGGUGAUCUGGAUCUGUAGAUUGAGCUCUGUAUGAAAUGUAGGGUGAUCUGACCCCGUUAUUAACAGUUACUGUAUUCAUUUAAUUGUUGUCUAGCAUGAACUUGGCUGGCAUGAUAUAUGCAUCUCUGAAGAUGUUUCCGCAAUAGGGUUGCUAACAUAUUUGCAUGAAGUAGUGUUGCAAAAAAGAAAAGAAAAGAAAUACUUACAUGAAGUUGUUUCAUCUGUGGACCAAAUAUGUGUAACAUCCUGUAAAGUUUUAGCUGUCUGGUCAACUAAUGACCAGUUUUAUGUUUACGCUAGGUCCAACCCUGAUUGAAAUAAAAUUACAUUACCCUGAACACUUCCCACUUGAAUUGCUCACAACCACGACUUCCAAUCUGAAAAUCAUUGAAUUACUACUACCUAUCAUUCAGGAAGCGAACAACAUAAACUGUUGCAGGCUCAACUAAUAUAAAAUAAGAUCCAACUCGGGUGGAUUCAAACACGCAAAAAAACUAAAAUUCAUGGCUAUUUAUUGCUUGAUUGACCUCUAUCCAUUGAAUAUUAGAACAAAUUACAAUUGAAAUGGGCUGAGCCGAAAUACCUAUAUAACACUAGCUGGUCAUAUAGCACGCCUACUCCAAAGAACAAACCAAAGCCAAUAAAAAAUAUGACCUUGACGCUGGGCUGUUUUGCAGAGAUAAUGUAGAUAGGAUCUGCUCUGACUGAACUACACUGAUGAAUAAGCGUAGUGCCACACAGCUUUGGGUUCCCAUCAAAACUGGAAUCUGGAAAAGUGCUCAACUGGCCUCCUGCUGGUACAGACCCUUCUAAAUCAUUGUUCGAAAUGUUGAAUGCAGAAAGGAAGUGAAGUCUCUCCAGUGCUGCAGGGAUUACACCCGUCAGAUGGUUAUUAGACAAGUCUAGCACCUCCAGCUUCGUGAGAUUGCAGAUCGACAGCGGAACCAGUCCAUAUAAUUUGUUUGAGCUGAAGUCGAGUUCAGAAAGCACUUUCAGUUGGCCAAUCUCCGAUGGAAUCACGCCUGUGAAAUUGUUGAUGCUCAGAUUCAAGAGUGUAGGGAAAGCUGUAAGAAAAUGGUAUUGGCGUGAUAUAUUCCUCCAAAAAAGAGGCAGCUCAACGUGGCCAGGAUCCAAAUAAGCUGCUGUAUUAUCUUUAAGCAUUGGGAUCUCCAUCAAGGCGAUUGGGAUUUGCCCAGUAAAACUGUUGUUUGAUACAUCUAGAUAGAAGAGGCUAUUUAAGGAGUUGAUCCAGCCUGGCAUUGGUCCGGUGAGUCGAUUGUUGGAUAACUUUAGUACCUUCAAGUUUCUAAGCUUUGAUAACCAAACUGGCAAGUGUCCGGUUAACGCGCUGUCGGCCAUGUGGAUGUAUUGAAGAUUUCGAAAACCAUCCAGGGUCUCAUCUUGUGGCAUCAUCUCAUUCACAAAGUUCUCGGCAAUAAUCAGAGUGGUGAUGUUCCUGAAGCCAUUGAAGACAUGAAAAGCUUUUGUGAUAUUUGUAAAAGGGUUUCUAGCAAGUGAUAGGAAGGAUAGGUGCAGAUUCCCUAUUCUUGGUGAGAUCUCACCAUGGAAAUGGUUCAACGACACCCGCAGUGCAAUCAAAUUUCUGCAUGAGUAUAUGCUUUCUGGCACUAUGCCGCUGAAGUUAUUUCUCAAAACAUCUAAAUGUGUCAGGUUCUGUAGAGUGGAGAAGUUGACCCUGCCUAGUUCUCCACUGAAGUUGUUGAUCUUCAGAUCGAUGAUCAUGAGACGUGUGCAGUUACUCAGAGUUGAUGGCACCUCCCCAGACAUGUUAUUGUUACCCAAAUAGAGCUCCUGUAGCCUCUUCAACUGACCUAUGGAGCGUGGGAUCUUCCCACUGAAUUUGUUCUCCCUGAGGUCGAGAGUAACCAGAUUACUGAGUUUUACUAUGCUUGCUCCAUCAAGUUCUCCUUGUAAUCCAUUGUUGGGGAAGGAGAGAUGCUCCAGGGAAGUGGCAUGGAAGAGCUCAGCAGGGAGAGUCCCACUUAGGUUGUUGUGCCCAACCUUGAACACUUUGAGCUUGGAGCAAGCGCCAAGUGCAGCAGGAAUACUGCCGCUCAAUUGGUUGUAACAAAGAUCAAGCAUGGCCAAUGAUGGCGAGAGGCAAAGAGAAAGUGGUAUGUGCCCGGUGAAGCUGUUGUUGCUGACGUUAAGCACGACCAAAUUCUGCAUGACCUUCCAUGUGUGUGAUGGAAAUUCUGCACCGAAUUGGUUGCUCGAGAUGUUCAGUACCUGCAGAGGCCGGGCGUAGGUAACCGAAGAUGGCGGCUCGUGCAACACCCCACUAAGCCUGCUGAAGCUGACGUCGAGGACGAUGAUGCUUCUGGAAUACAUGAGCUCCGGUGGAAGGCCACCGGAGAACGAGUUGUGUGAAAGGUUGACACGCAGCAGGCCGGUGAGACCGGCAAGGUGCGGCGAGAUGCGACCUUCAAUCCCUCUAGAUGCCAGGGAGACUGCGGUGACGCCCCCCUCCCUGUCGCAGGUUAUGCCUUCCCAUUCGCAGCAGUCCGUGCCGUUUCUCCACGACACGGUGAGGCCGCCAUCUUGGGAUAACCCGGUGAGGAAUUGGAGGAGGGAGUGCUCCUCUUGCUCGGUGCAUGAGCGGGCAGGAGAGGCCAAGGAGAGCAGCAGCAGAAACAGCUGUAGCGUGACUAGGGCUGCAGAAUGCAUGGCUGGUAAGCUUAAAACUUGCUCAUCUUAACCUGUUUGUGCAAUGGUUAUCUGGUAGCCGAUAGGUGGUGGUUUCCAGUGUUGCAGUGGUAUCGUUAUAACUAGAAGAUAGUGCUACUGUAGUUGCAUCAGAGUACAUCUUCUGUCACUGAGGUACGAUGGUGCCAUCAAGAGGCUGGGUACCAACCUACUAGUCCCUGACUCUUGGUUGGCUCUUGAGGUCCACUAACACCUUUUAGUCCUACAUUUGCACAUGGUCAAUCUGGUUCUUUCUGAGCAUGCCCAUUAAGGGCUCAAGAUGGCAAUGGGUAAUUACCCAACCGGGUAAAGCACUAAAGCCUCUCUUCUUUUCAUGCCCGUGAAAGCACAGGCUUGCCCAUUACCCCAUACGCACCGCGGGGAAGAAUUUCACUCAUACUCGUCGCCGACAGAUAAUUCUUGCCCACAGGUAUACCCGCCCUUUCUGAUGCCAACCUCCAGGAGCAAUUCACACAUAUCAAACCAGCAACUUAUUAUCCAAAAUCAUAACAUCCUGCAGUUCAAUAGCAUAGUUGCAUAGCACAAUUGCAUACCAUCACAUCAUAACACUUAUGACAAUCAAUUUGAUAGAAUAAUUGCACAGCACAAGUGUAUACCAUCAGAUCGUAACACUAUUAUCCAUUAAUUCAAUAGAAUAAUUGCACAACAAGUGCAUGCCAUCACAUCAUAACACUAAACAUCCAUCAAUUUAAUACUAGCAUAAUUUAAGCAUCGCAUCAUUAUCAUAACAAGUAGCAAGGUUCAAACGAUCAAGUAUCAAAACUCUCACAUCUCACAUCUCACAACUCUCAAGAGUAAUUCUAGAUGGCAUAGUUCAUUGCAAGACAAGUGACAAUGAUAAAGCUCAAAACUGAGCAACAAAAGACGGGGUUCACAUGUCAAGCCUCCACUACUGGGUACCCGUGGGUAACAGGUAUGGAUAAUUACUAAUGGACAAAGGUACAUGUACCUGUGUUACCCAGUGGGGAAGGAAUUUUGCCAUUUACUUACCCGUGGCUCAAACUCGUUCCUUAAUUGAGCAAUUACCCGCCGGGGAUCGGGUAACAGGUACCCGUUGCCAUCUUGUUAGGCUUUAUUGGUUCAUGGGGUCCACUAACACAUUUUAGGCAUACAUUUAGGGCUUGCUCACCUCUUACUUCGAUAAAUAAUCUUAGAAGUAAAGCUCCAAAUCAUAUGUUUUGUGUUUGUUUUCUAUGUUUGUUUAUGUUGGUUCUCAUACGUCCGCAACUUCAUACUACAUGGGUAAGCUUGUUACACAACCCAUACCACGGAUAAACCUCAUUGACCAUCAUAUUUUCAUUCCAGGUGAUGCCUUCCCAGGGAGCCAAAGCUGGUGGUGGGAGAGGCACCAUGCAUAGACAAGGACUAUUUGGAGAUGAAAAUCGAAAGAGGGGUUCAAUCUAAUUUAUCCAGAGCUACAGCCCUCCUCUAUAAUGAGCCUCCAAUAUAAGCUAAUCUAGGCCUCGCCUUGAAAGAUGGAGUUAAGUUAGGUUCAGAGGGCCUGCCUGCAAUAUAUAACUGUACUGAAUUGGUACCCAGAUGCUCAGCUCAUAAUCUUUUGCCAUCAGAUGAAAAUAUGUAAUGUGGUCGAAGAAGAUAGCUACGGUUGCAAAGGGUGGGAUGAUUAAGUUCGUUGCUGCCAUUUAUGUAGUUCUUUCUUCAAGAUACGGGAGCUCUAAUCUAUGUAAAUCACUUUGGUUCUUGAACUGGUGCAUCUACUUGCUCAGGGAAGCUAUAGAAGAGUGUCUAGAAUACUCCCUCCGUAAACUAAAUAAGAGUGUCUAGAAUACUAAAAUAGUGAUCUAAACGCUUUUAUAUUAGUUUACAGAGGGAAUAAUGAGUGUCUAGAAUACUCCCUUCGUAAACUAAUAUAAAAGUGUCUAGAAUACUAAAAUAGUGAUCUAAACGCUUUUAUAUUAG
RNAcentral lists this long non-coding RNA (5100 nucleotides) under Triticum aestivum (bread wheat). Its description in RNAcentral is "long non-coding RNA (TAES_LNC002732)". The record is from RNAcentral. Lineage: Eukaryota; Viridiplantae; Streptophyta; Magnoliopsida; Poales; Poaceae.